This 1452-nucleotide ribosomal RNA is filed under the name Triticum aestivum (bread wheat). Its description in RNAcentral is "partial small subunit ribosomal RNA". The record is from RNAcentral. Lineage: Eukaryota; Viridiplantae; Streptophyta; Magnoliopsida; Poales; Poaceae.
AUGAAGAGGCAGAGGACCCCCACUACUCUCCUGGCGCACGAGGUCGUGCGUCGAGGUGGAAGGAGACGGCACGCCGGUUGUGUGUGCAUGGCUGCCGCCUGGUCGCUCGAUCUACGUGGUGACCGCCGUCGCAUGAGUGGAGUGGAGGGGAUGAAAGGGAACACUGAUGUGAGAGGAGGCCGCCGGUUGUGCCGCCGUGCGGGCGAGAGUGGAGGGAGUGGAGUGGGUGAGGGAAAGGAGAGUGGAGAGGGAUCUAGGGAUUGUGUGCGUCACUGGAAAGGGGGAGUGGAGAGAGUGAGGGGAAGGACUUCGUGGGUGCUGGUUGCCCAUGAGAGGAACAACAGAAUGCGAGUGGGCUUGGGCUUCUUGGGGCCUUGGAUAAGCAACCUUUGUAAUAUAGGAGAUAUAGAUAUGGAUUUUGGAGAUACACAAAAAGAAUGUAUCGACAAGGGUUCCGAAGCGGCAACACUGAAAAGGGUCGGAAAAUCAUCGAGUUGUUCACAACAUAAUGAUGUGGAGGUGACAGACUAUGUUUGUACCCCUAGGGAUAUUACAUUCAUCGAAUCAAUCAUGUUUGCCCUCAAGAAAACCAAGUUCGUGGACAUUGAAGAUGCCUCGUUAUCAAACGAUGAUUUGCAAUGUCUUAUGAAGGAUGAUAUGUUCUUACACGAUGGUGAAUUGCAGGUGAUAAAUGCUUACAUAUAUUGCAUGCUGGCUCACGACCAUCUACGUGACACGGCAGGUGGAAAGGAGGAUAUCAAGCACUUUCGACGAAAAUUAGUUGUCAUUUUGCUCGAUUCAGAACUGAAUAAGCUAAAAGGAUGUCCAAUAUACUAUCAACCAGACAAUGAAGAAAAUUUAUCUAAUUCUGAUCUCGAGCUCCUAGAGAAUUCACCUGAUGGAGUCAAAGACAGACGUCCUAGCCCAAUCCCCAACAUGCCCACGGAUCAAUGUGAAUUGCUUGUCGGUCUCUGCAACUAUAUCAUGUCGAUCGAUGAUGCCAAGUGUUUAGACUCGACACCUCGUCCAAUGGGCUUAAGUCUCAAAAGACUUCCGAGUAUACUUUACAUGGAGCAGUCUAUGGACAAUGAUUGUUUCAACAUUGCUGUGCGUAUACUGGCAUGUGACGAGGGAGUAUUGUUCACGGACCCUCCAAUACACUACAUGGAUCUACAAUUUUAUUUUUUUACUCAGUCGAUCUUGCGGGAUUCAACACGAGAUCAAAAGUUCUGCGAUAAGGAAACUAUUCAGAAGUUGGCAAUAUUGUUUGAUACUUGGCCUGGGAUAGACAACAAUAUCUUAUCAUGCAACAUGAUUUAUCGUCCAUAUGAAUCCAUCGGUCGAUACAUCUUGUACGUCAUCGACAAAGAGGCAUGUCGUGUAUCUAUUCUGGACCCUAUUCGUACAACACAAUCGUCGGAGAUGAAAAUUUUGAGGCACUUCAUGAAUUAA